This 422-nucleotide ribosomal RNA is filed under the name uncultured rumen bacterium. RNAcentral describes it as "bacterial SSU rRNA". It matches the Rfam family "Bacterial small subunit ribosomal RNA", at positions 354 to 776 of the family's 1533-position model. The record is from RNAcentral.
GUGGGGAAUAUUGCACAAUGGGGGAAACCCUGAUGCAGCAACGCCACGUGUGGGAAGAAGCAUUUCGGUGUGUAAACCACUGUCGUGAGGGAAUAAGGCUGAGUUUCGGCUCAGUUGAAUGUACCUCGAGAGGAAGCACCGGCAAACUUCGUGCCAGCAGCCGCGGUAAUACGAGGGGUGCAAGCGUUGUUCGGAAUCACUGGGCGUAAAGGGAGCGCAGGCGGAAGCUCAAGCGGAUUGUACAAUACCGGGGCCCAACCCCGGACCUGCAGUCCGAACUGGGUUUCUUGGAUAGUUCAGGGGCAAGCGGAAUUCCUGGUGUAGCGGUGGAAUGCGUAGAGAUCAGGAAGAACACCGAUGGCGAAGGCAGCUUGCUGGGGACUUAUCGACGCUCAUGCUCGAAAGUGCGGGUAGCAAACAGG